AACGAACGCUGGCGGCAUGCCUAACACAUGCAAGUCGAACGAGACCUUCGGGUCUAGUGGCGCACGGGUGCGUAACGCGUGGGAACCUGCCUUUAGGCUCGGAAUAACUCAGAGAAAUUUGAGCUAAUACCGGAUGAUGUCUUCGGACCAAAGAUUUAUCGCCUUUAGAUGGGCCCGCGUUGGAUUAGCUAGUUGGUUGGGUAAAGGCUUACCAAGGCGACGAUCCAUAGCUGGUCUGAGAGGAUGAUCAGCGACACUGGGACUGAGACACGGCCCAGACUCCUACGGGAGGCAGCAGUGGGGAACAUUGGACAAUGGGCGAAAGGCUGAUGCAGCAAUGCCGCGUGAGUGAUGAAGGCCUGAGGGUUGUAAAGCGCUUUUAACCGAGAUGAUAAUGACAGUAUCGGGAGAGAAAGCUCCGGCUAACUCCGUG
RNAcentral lists this ribosomal RNA (433 nucleotides) under uncultured bacterium. Its description in RNAcentral is "partial 16S ribosomal RNA". It matches the Rfam family "Bacterial small subunit ribosomal RNA", at positions 29 to 507 of the family's 1533-position model. The record is from RNAcentral.